GUUUAUCUAGUGGCAAACGGGUGAGUAACACGUGGGUAACGUGCCUCCAAGACGAGGACAACAGGGCGAAAGCCCUGCUAAUACUCGAUAUGCUGCCCCUGCAACGGUAGGGACCAGAAAAGCUACGGCGCUUGGAGAUCGGCCCGCGGUCCAUUAGCUAGUUGGUGAGGUAACGGCUCACCAAGGCGACAAUGGGUAGCUGGUCUGAGAGGACGAUCAGCCACACCGGGACUGAGAUAUGACCCAGACUCCUACGGGAGUUAGCAUCCGGGAAUCUUGCACAAUGGGCGCAAGCCUGAUGCAGCGACGCCGCGUGGGUGAUGAAGGUCUGCGGAUCGUAAAGCCCUGUCAGGAGGGAAGGCACCCGACUGUACCUCCAAAGGAAGCUCCGGCUAACUACGUGCCAGCAGCCGCGGUAAAACGUAGGGAGCUAGCGUUGUCCGGAAUUACUGGGCGUAAAGGGCACGCAGGCGGUCUGAGAAGCGGUGGGUGCAAUCUCGAGGCUCAACUUCGAAACUGCUCGCCGAACUAUCAGACUAGAGCAUGGGAGAGGACAGUGGAAUUCCCGGUGUAGCGGUGGAAUGCGUAAAUAUCGGGAGGAACACCAGUGGCGAAGGCUGCUGUCUGGAACAUUGCUGACGCUGAGGUGCGAAAGCCAGGGGAGCGAACGGGAUUAGAUACCCCGGUAGUCCUGGCCGUAAACGAUGCUCACUAGGUGUUACCGGCAUUAACCCCGGUAGUGCUGUUCUGCUAACGCGUUAAGUGAGCCGCCUGGGGAGUACGGCCGCAAGGCUGAAACUCAAAGGAAUUGACGGGGGCCCGCACAAGCGGUGGAGCAUGUGGGUCAAUUGGAUGCUACGCCAAGAACCUUACCAGGGCUUGACAUGUUGGGGCCCGCCUGAGAGAUCAGGCUUUCUCCGCAAGGAGACCCCAUCACAGGUGGUGCAUGGCUGUCGUCAGCUCGUGUCGUGAGAUGUUGGGUUAAGUCCCGCAACGAGCGCAACCCUCACACGGAUGUGCCAUCGGUUUGGCUGGGCAGUCUUCCGGAACUGCGUGAGUAAUCAGGAGGAAGGCGAGGACGACGUCAAGUCCGCAUACCCCUUAUGUCCUG
This 1111-nucleotide ribosomal RNA is filed under the name uncultured organism. Its description in RNAcentral is "bacterial SSU rRNA". It matches the Rfam family "Bacterial small subunit ribosomal RNA", at positions 86 to 1211 of the family's 1533-position model. The record is from RNAcentral.